UAUUUAAAUUAAAUCAAUCUCAGAUUAGGAUAUUCAAUUUCAAAAAUUGAAUUUGAAUUUAAUUUAAUUAAGUUGAAAAUUGAAUUAAAUUAAAUUUGAAAUUGAGUUUAGUGGAAUUGUCCAAGAUUUCAACUUCUUAGUGGAUUUCUCCACAAUUCAAUGCCUAGACCACUUAGCUAAUGCAUUUUGAUGUGUCAAAAUGUUGAAAGACUAGGUGCUUGCAUUGAUUAAUUGAAUAAAUAACCCAACAUAGGAUUGCUCCACGCUAAGCACGCUUAACUUUGAAGUUCUUAUGAUUGAGCCACUGAAAAGGAAGGUGCACCUUGUUGAUAUAGGUAGUAGUAAUUUUCAAUUCUUUUAAGCCUUUCUUAACCAUACUUUCAUGUUCUCAAGAUCCUUCUCAUUCAGAAGUGAUAUCGGCUCAUUCAUGUACCCUCCUGAACUCGGGUCGUUACAUGCCCACCAGCUUCCGCUUGGUUCGUCCUCGAACCACAUCUUACUGGGAGACGUUCCACUCUGAUACCAUAUGGUCGAGGAACGUGUGGUGGUGGAGGAAGUUUUCGAGCGGAGUAAGGUCUCGUUUUGGGACAGUUCGUUAUCAUAAGGUAAUGACAGACUGGCGCAUGACAAGAGAGAUCCGUGACCUGGCCAUUAGGACGAUUUACUGCUUCCGCACUUAGUAUCAUGUUUUGAAGUCUGGUUUAGGAGUUAUACGUUUUUACACUCUCAUGCAAAAUUUAUUAAUUUUAUUAUUUGACUAUUUAAUUGUCUUCAUUUUAAAGUUGGGUUUAGUGGUACCUUGAACGGUAAAUUUUUAUUUUAUUUUAUUUUUGUUUUAGUUUAUUUAUUUUUAUUUAAUUAUGUUUUCUUAUCUUUGCUCAUUUGAGCAUUAUUAAAUAAAAUUUGGCUAUUAAAUAAAUUUUGGCUCUUUUAUUUGAUGGUUUAAAAGAAAAUGUACAAUUAAGCCUAUGCAUGCACGAAGUAGCGUCCUAGAAUUUAGUAGGAAACUAAGGUCGUUACAUGCUUUAUGCAUGUUUAUUCUAUCAAUUGGUAUUAGAGCAUGAUUUAAGCACUCAAUUAACGUUAAUUUGAGUUUGGUGGGUGAAAUUCUAGCAAUACAUGUUCGGGUGACUGAAAUGGUUUUAAUUCAACUUUGGCAUUAGAUUUCUCUUUGAUUCAGUUGUUAAAUUUGUAAUUGGCUCUUGAUUGUAUAUGAUUAAGGGUCUAUAAUUUUAUUAGAGUCAAUAAAGUUGAAGUUAAGCUGUAAUUGAAGAUUGAAGCAAGCAAACUUAGUUGGAAAAAAAUGGAGAAGAAGCCACGGCCAGGCAGCGUCGCUGUAACACUAUUCUUCAUGAAGCCGAGGCAUCGCAACACUGGGAUGGAGCGUUGCAAUGCUGCUCAUCUCAACCCAGAAACACGCGCACACGUGAUUUGGUUAGCAGAAGCGGUCCGAUAUGAUCAAUUUGACGAUAUGAAGUCCGAUUCAACCAUUUUUGGACCGGUUCAACCUCUUUUAGAGCUUUAAAGGGCCGAUUUGGGUGUUCGGGUCGGUUCGAGCAGUCCAAAGGCUUUCUCAAGCUGUUUUUGAAUUAAUUAUAUAAUAAAUUAGUUUAUUGCUUGCUUAG
Non-coding RNA from Benincasa hispida (wax gourd), 1625 nucleotides. The record is from RefSeq and is a predicted model, not a curated record. Lineage: Eukaryota; Viridiplantae; Streptophyta; Magnoliopsida; Cucurbitales; Cucurbitaceae.